Bos taurus (domestic cattle) is the source of this 641-nucleotide long non-coding RNA. The record is from Ensembl. NCBI's taxonomy places the organism in Eukaryota, Metazoa, Chordata, Mammalia, Artiodactyla, Bovidae.
GGGAUGCAGAGAGUCAGACACGACGUAGGAAGAGAACAACAGACUGAGGUUUGGAGAGGCAAGUGGCCUGCACAUGGGUCAACCUUCAGAAUGUGGAGCCAUGUCCACACACCCAGGCCCUCUGCACUCCACAGUCAGGCCGUUUUCAGGGAAUCGCCUGCCUCGGCCCCCUCGGCCCAUGUGUGGCUGACUCUCCAGGGACCUCAGGGCCGGGUCACCGCCAUGUUUUCCCUGAGAGCCCUGGCGGCCUCGCCCUGCUGAGUUCAUUUGCAGCUGGUCCUGCCCUGAGGCCUUAAACAGCUUGCUUUUUUUAGCUUUGGCAGGAGCUGUGGCUCCUCCCCUCCUCUCUCUUGCCCAGGGUCUUUAAUUGUGGCAUUCAAACUCUUAGUUGCAGCAUGUGGGAUCUAGUUCCCCAACAAGGGAUUGAUCCCAGGCCCCCUGCAUUGGGAGCGCGGGGUCUUAGCCACUGGACCACCGAGGAAGAAGCUGAUAAACACAUUCUUGGCAAGAGAUACCAGACAGAUACGGUUUAAUGGGUCAUUUAGCCCUGGGACACUCUAGUGGAAACAGAACUUCCGCCAAAGCUGAGUCUGCCGUUGUAAAUACAAAAGUAUUUGUCAGCCAGUUAAGGAAGGCAGUGC